Molecule: unclassified non-coding RNA, 260 nt
Filed under: Hevea brasiliensis (rubber tree)
Lineage: Eukaryota; Viridiplantae; Streptophyta; Magnoliopsida; Malpighiales; Euphorbiaceae
Source: RNAcentral
GAAAUUUCAAGCACCAAAAAUUAAUAAUUCGACAAUUUGGUUCACAAAUACAGUGCCCAGUUCAUUGAUCAUUGCCAGCACCACUUGAAAUCAAAUUUGGUAGCACUGUUUAAUCAUUACCCCUUGACAGAUUAUCUGAAUUGUCCUACAGAACUUACCAAAGUCAACAUGUGCUAUCGACCUUGCCAGCUAGUUAUUGAUGGAACGGCCAUGAUUGAAUUUGCAGCUCUUUCCAUCUUAUAAAUUUCUUCAACAGCCUU